UAAUCUCAGCUGGCAACUGUGAGAUGUUCAUACAAUCCCUCACAGUGGUCUCUGGGAUUAUG
This 62-nucleotide microRNA precursor is filed under the name Callithrix jacchus (white-tufted-ear marmoset). RNAcentral's name for it is "Cja-Mir-216-P2b_pre stem-loop". It matches the Rfam family "mir-216 microRNA precursor family", at positions 9 to 70 of the family's 77-position model. Lineage: Eukaryota; Metazoa; Chordata; Mammalia; Primates; Cebidae. RNAcentral also lists the same sequence under 2 other names. The record is from RNAcentral.